AGAGUUUGAUCAUGGCUCAGAUUGAACGCUGGCGGCAGGCCUAACACAUGCAAGUCGAGCGGUAACACAGAGAGCUUGCUCUCGGGUGACGAGCGGCGGACGGGUGAGUAAUGUCUGGGAAACUGCCUGAUGGAGGGGGAUAACUACUGGAAACGGUAGCUAAUACCGCAUAAUGUCGCAAGACCAAAGUGGGGGACCUUCGGGCCUCAUGCCAUCAGAUGUGCCCAGAUGGGAUUAGCUAGUAGGUGGGGUAACGGCUCACCUAGGCGACGAUCCCUAGCUGGUCUGAGAGGAUGACCAGCCACACUGGAACUGAGACACGGUCCAGACUCCUACGGGAGGCAGCAGUGGGGAAUAUUGCACAAUGGGCGCAAGCCUGAUGCAGCCAUGCCGCGUGUGUGAAGAAGGCCUUCGGGUUGUAAAGCACUUUCAGCGGGGAGGAAGGCGUUAAGGUUAAUAACCUUGGCGAUUGACGUUACCCGCAGAAGAAGCACCGGCUAACUCCGUGCCAGCAGCCGCGGUAAUACGGAGGGUGCAAGCGUUAAUCGGAAUUACUGGGCGUAAAGCGCACGCAGGCGGUCUGUCAAGUCGGAUGUGAAAUCCCCGGGCUCAACCUGGGAACUGCAUUCGAAACUGGCAGGCUAGAGUCUUGUAGAGGGGGGUAGAAUUCCAGGUGUAGCGGUGAAAUGCGUAGAGAUCUGGAGGAAUACCGGUGGCGAAGGCGGCCCCCUGGACAAAGACUGACGCUCAGGUGCGAAAGCGUGGGGAGCAAACAGGAUUAGAUACCCUGGUAGUCCACGCCGUAAACGAUGUCGAUUUGGAGGUUGUGCCCUUGAGGCGUGGCUUCCGGAGCUAACGCGUUAAAUCGACCGCCUGGGGAGUACGGCCGCAAGGUUAAAACUCAAAUGAAUUGACGGGGGCCCGCACAAGCGGUGGAGCAUGUGGUUUAAUUCGAUGCAACGCGAAGAACCUUACCUGGUCUUGACAUCCACAGAACUUUCCAGAGAUGGAUUGGUGCCUUCGGGAACUGUGAGACAGGUGCUGCAUGGCUGUCGUCAGCUCGUGUUGUGAAAUGUUGGGUUAAGUCCCGCAACGAGCGCAACCCUUAUCCUUUGUUGCCAGCGGUUAGGCCGGGAACUCAAAGGAGACUGCCAGUGAUAAACUGGAGGAAGGUGGGGAUGACGUCAAGUCAUCAUGGCCCUUACGACCAGGGCUACACACGUGCUACAAUGGCAUAUACAAAGAGAAGCGACCUCGCGAGAGCAAGCGGACCUCAUAAAGUAUGUCGUAGUCCGGAUUGGAGUCUGCAACUCGACUCCAUGAAGUCGGAAUCGCUAGUAAUCGUAGAUCAGAAUGCUACGGUGAAUACGUUCCCGGGCCUUGUACACACCGCCCGUCACACCAUGGGAGUGGGUUGCAAAAGAAGUAGGUAGCUUAACCUUCGGGAGGGCGCUUACCACUUUGUGAUUCAUGACUGGGGUGAAGUCGUAACAAGGUAACCGUAGGGGAACCUGCGGUUGGAUCACCU
RNAcentral lists this ribosomal RNA (1528 nucleotides) under Klebsiella pneumoniae. Its description in RNAcentral is "bacterial SSU rRNA". It matches the Rfam family "Bacterial small subunit ribosomal RNA". Lineage: Bacteria; Pseudomonadati; Pseudomonadota; Gammaproteobacteria; Enterobacterales; Enterobacteriaceae. The record is from RNAcentral.